UGAAUACGAGACGCUAAGGCGUCGAAGUAGUGUAUGUCAUACUUCCAAGAAAAGCUUGCACUGUCAUAGAUAAAAAACGCCUGUACCAUAACCGACACAGGUGGGUAGGUAGAGUAUACUAAGGGGCGCGAGAUAACUCUCUCUAAGGAACUCGGCAAAAUAACUCCGUAACUUCGGGAGAAGGAGUGCCUUAUUCGUAAGGUUGCAAUAACAAGAUCCAAGCAACUGUUUAUCAAAAACACAGGUCUCCGCUAAGUCGUAAGACGAUGUAUGGGGGCUGACGCCUGCCCAGUGCCAGAAGGUUAAAGAAGUUGGUUAGCAAUUGCGAAGCUGAUAACUGAAGCCCUGGUGAACGGCGGCCGUAACUAUAACGGUCCUAAGGUAGCGAAAUUCCUUGUCGGGUAAGUUCCGACCCGCACGAAAGGCGUAAUGAUUUGGAUACUGUCUCGGAGAGGGGCUCGGUGAAAUAGACUUGUCUGUGAAGAUGCGGACUACCUGCACCAGGACAGAAAGACCCUAUGAAGCUUUACUGUAACUUGAAAUUGAAAUUGGACUUUAUUCGCGCAGUAUAGGUGGGAGGCGUUGAUUAUAAUCUUGUGGGAUUAUUGGAGCCAUCAGUGAGAUACCACUCUUGUAAUGUUAGAUUUCCAACUUUGAAUCAUUAUCUGGUCAAAGAACAGUUUCAGGCGGGCAGUUUGACUGGGGCGGUCGCCUCCUAAACGGUAACGGAGGCGUACAAAGGUUUCCUCUGAACGGUUAGAAAUCGUAUCUAGAGUGUAAAGGCAUAAGGAAGCUUGACUGUGAGACCUACAAGUCGAGCAGGGACGAAAGUCGGUCUUAGUGAUCUGACGGUACUGAGUGGAAAGGCCGUCACUCAACGGAUAAAAGUUACUCUAGGAUAACAGGCUGAUCUCCCCCAAGAGUUCACAUCGACGGGGAGGUUUGGCACCUCGAUGUCGGCUCAUCGCAUCCUGGGGCGGUAGUACGUCCCAAGGGUUGGGCUGUUCGCCCAUGAAAGCGGUACGCGAGCUGGGUUCAGAACGUCGUGAGACAGUUCGGUCCAUAUCCGGUGUAGGCGUUAGAAUAUUGAGAGGAGCCUUCUUUAGUACGAGAGGACCGAGAAGGACAUACCUCUGGUGUACCAGUUAUCGUGCCAACGGUAAACGCUGGGUAGCUAUGUAUGGAGUGGAUAACCGCUGAAAGCAUCUAAGUGGGAAGCCCACCUCAAGAUAAGUAUUCUCAC
This 1243-nucleotide ribosomal RNA is filed under the name metagenome. Its description in RNAcentral is "bacterial LSU rRNA". It matches the Rfam family "Bacterial large subunit ribosomal RNA", at positions 1564 to 2817 of the family's 2925-position model. The record is from RNAcentral.